RNAcentral lists this small nucleolar RNA (84 nucleotides) under Triticum aestivum (bread wheat). Lineage: Eukaryota; Viridiplantae; Streptophyta; Magnoliopsida; Poales; Poaceae. The record is from RNAcentral.
GGGCAGAGGAUGUGAAACAUUUAGACCGAUGCAUCCUUCCCGGUCUUUGAUGAUCUAAAUUGAGCUUUUUAAAACUGAUGCCUA